RNAcentral lists this ribosomal RNA (292 nucleotides) under uncultured bacterium. Its description in RNAcentral is "partial 16S ribosomal RNA". The record is from RNAcentral.
GGACUACACGGGUAUCUAAUCCUGUUUGAUCCCCACGCUUUCGUGCCUCAGCGUCAAUGUCGGUCCAGAUAGCCGCUUACGCCACUGGUGUUCCUGUCAAUAUCUACGCAUUUCACUGCUACACUGACAAUUCCGCUAUCCUCUCCCGAAUUCAAGUCCAGCAGUUUCAAAAGCGCUUCCAGGGUUGAGCCCUGGGCUUUCACUUCUGACUUGCUGAACAGCCUACGCACGCUUUACGCCCAGUGAUUCCGAAUAACGCUCGCCCCCUUCGUAUUACCGCGGCUGCUGGCAC